CACUCCUGCGGGAGGCAGCAGUGGGGAAUAUUGGACAAUGGGCGCAAGCCUGAUCCAGCCAUGCCGCGUGAGUGAUGAAGGCCCUAGGGUUGUAAAGCUCUUUCACCGGUGAAGAUAAUGACGGUAACCGGAGAAGAAGCCCCGGCUAACUUCGUGCCAGCAGCCGCGGUAAUACGAAGGGGGCUAGCGUUGUUCGGAUUUACUGGGCGUAAAGCGCACGUAGGCGGACUAUUAAGUCAGGGGUGAAAUCCCGGGGCUCAACCCCGGAACUGCCGUUGAUACUGGUAGUCUUGAGUUCGAGAGAGGUGAGUGGAAUUCCGAGUGUAGAGGUGAAAUUCGUAGAUAUUCGGAGGAACACCAGUGGCGAAGGCGGCUCACUGGCUCGAUACUGACGCUGAGGUGCGAAAGCGUGGGGAGCAAACAGGAUUAGAUACCCCAGUAGUCCCAUGA
This 450-nucleotide ribosomal RNA is filed under the name uncultured organism. Its description in RNAcentral is "partial 16S ribosomal RNA". It matches the Rfam family "Bacterial small subunit ribosomal RNA", at positions 334 to 800 of the family's 1533-position model. The record is from RNAcentral.